CGGGUGAGUAACGCGUGAGGAACCUGCCUCAAAGAGGGGGACAACAGUUGGAAACGACUGCUAAUACCGCAUAAGCCCACGGCUCGGCAUCGAGCAGAGGGAAAAGGAGCAAUCCGCUUUGAGAUGGCCUCGCGUCCGAUUAGCUAGUUGGUGGGGUAAUGGCCCACCAAGGCGACGAUCGGUAGCCGGACUGAGAGGUUGAACGGCCACAUUGGGACUGAGACACGGCCCAG
Molecule: ribosomal RNA, 233 nt
Filed under: uncultured bacterium
Lineage: Bacteria
Description: partial 16S ribosomal RNA
Rfam family: Bacterial small subunit ribosomal RNA
Source: RNAcentral